UACGUAGGGUGCGAGCGUUAAUCGGAAUUACUGGGCGUAAAGCGUGCGCAGGCGGUUGGUUAAGUCUGAUGUGAAAGCCCCGAGCUCAACUUGGGAAUGGCAUUGGAAACUGGCUGGCUAGAGUGUGGCAGAGGGGGGUGGAAUUCCGCGUGUAGCAGUGAAAUGCGUAGAGAUGCGGAGGAACACCAGUGGCGAAGGCGGCUCACUGGUCCAUUACUGACGCUGAGGUGCGAAAGCGUGGGGAGCAAACAGG
Molecule: ribosomal RNA, 253 nt
Filed under: uncultured bacterium
Lineage: Bacteria
Description: partial 16S ribosomal RNA
Rfam family: Bacterial small subunit ribosomal RNA
Source: RNAcentral